GGCCGCGCCGGUCGGCCUACUUCGCCCCGGCUGUCCGCGCGCGGGACGUAGAAGAGCGCCCUGGCCGGGAAAGGUGGGGAGGGGCUUCAGGCUCUUUCUUGCUGGAGUAGGGUGCGGAAUCCCGUACCGCUUUACAGCUGCUGGCCCCCUAGGACCCCGCGGCGCAGGCCGGAUCCCAGAGGCGGGGAUAGGAGCCAAUAGCUGAUACAGACAAAAAAAUAAAAAGCAGCUGUACCUCA
Long non-coding RNA from Homo sapiens (human), 239 nucleotides. The record is from Ensembl. NCBI's taxonomy places the organism in Eukaryota, Metazoa, Chordata, Mammalia, Primates, Hominidae.